Molecule: ribosomal RNA, 217 nt
Filed under: Glomeromycotina sp.
Lineage: Eukaryota; Fungi; Glomeromycota
Description: partial small subunit ribosomal RNA
Rfam family: Eukaryotic small subunit ribosomal RNA (bases 68-217)
Source: RNAcentral
GGGUCAGUAGGUUGGUCGUGCCACCGGUACGUACUGGUCCCACUGAUUCCUCCUUCCUGAAGAACCGUAAUGCCAUUAAUUUGGUGUUGCGGGGGAAACAGGACUGUUACUUUGAAAAAAUUAGAGUGUUUAAAGCAAGCUAACGCUUGAAUACAUUAGCAUGGAAUAAUGAAAUAGGACGAUCGAUCCUAUUUUGUUGGUUUCUAGGAUUGACGUA